Molecule: ribosomal RNA, 283 nt
Filed under: Boophis arcanus
Lineage: Eukaryota; Metazoa; Chordata; Amphibia; Anura; Mantellidae
Description: partial 16S ribosomal RNA
Rfam family: Bacterial large subunit ribosomal RNA
Source: RNAcentral
ACUGAUCUUCCCGUGAAGAAACGGGAAUAAGUAUAUAAGACGAGAAGACCCCAUGGAGCUUUAAACCCAACAGCACCUAUCAUUUUUAUGUCCUCAUAUUCGCCUAGUUUAUGCUUGUUUGGUUUUGGGUUGGGGUGACCAUGGAGUAAAAAGUAACCUCCACGAAAAAAGGGAUAAAAUCCUUAUUAAAGAACUACACUUCUAUUCUUAGCAUACUAAUUUUUGAUGAUCCGACAUUCGAUCAACGAACCAAGUUACCCUGGGGAUAACAGCGCAAUCUGCC